Molecule: microRNA precursor, 104 nt
Filed under: Caenorhabditis briggsae
Lineage: Eukaryota; Metazoa; Nematoda; Chromadorea; Rhabditida; Rhabditidae
Description: microRNA cbr-mir-231 precursor
Gene: cbr-mir-231
Rfam family: mir-231 microRNA precursor family (bases 13-85)
Source: miRBase by way of RNAcentral
CUAGCACCUCAAUGUUGUUCUGUCUGUUUCCAUAGCUUAUAUUGUAAGGUACUUAUAAGCUCGUGAACAACAGGCAGGACAACUGGAAGUGGUGUUUUUUUUCA